GGAGAAACAAAGCAAAGACCAUCAUUUCUUAGCUCUCAGGUCGUCUCGCAGUAACUGAGGAGGCCACGUGGAUACGUAACUUCCACUCAUCAGAGGUUCAAAACCCUAAUAAUUCUUGCAGAACUGAUUCACUGCAAAUCUCCUAAUCAAGAACAGAAUGGCUUCUUUGGGAUUCUCUAACCUCAUCUCUGCUAUGGCAUCUUCACGGAAUUCAUUUCAAACCAAAAUAAGCCCUUCAUGGACCUCUUCUCCAACCAUGACUUUCCUUAACUUCUCUCUGAAAAACCCCUUGGGGCUUAAGUCUUCCUUUGUAAAUCAUGGCUUCUUCUUGCAAUCUUUGCAGUUUCCUGAUGCCAUCUUGAAGUCGCAGAGGACAGCAGGUAUUGUUUACGCAAGAGCAGCAACGGAAAAGAGUAUCCAUGAUUUCACUGUCAAGGAUAUUGAUGGGAAGGAUGUUUCUCUCAGCAAAUUCAAGGGAAAGGUUCUCUUGAUUGUCAAUGUGGCUUCAAAAUGCGGUCUGACAACAUCGAAUUACAUGGAACUCUCCCACCUCUAUGAGAAGUACAAAACUCAAGGAGUUGAGAUUCUGGCUUUUCCAUGCAAUCAGUUUGGGGGUCAAGAGCCUGGUUCAAAUACCGAAAUCAAGCAGUUUGCGUGUACAAGAUUUAAAGCAGAAUUCCCAAUUUUUGAUAAGGUUGAUGUGAACGGGCCAAGUACAGCCCCUGUCUAUCAGUUCCUGAAGUCAAGUGCAGGAGGUUUUCUGGGUGACCUGAUCAAGUGGAACUUUGAGAAGUUUUUGGUAGACAAAAAUGGUAAGGUUGUGGAAAGAUAUCCUCCAACGACAUCACCCUUCCAGAUUGAGAAAGACAUCCAAAAGCUUCUUGCGGCGUGAAUCUUCUACAUCAAACAUAUAUUACAGCAGAGUACUUGUGAAGCACAGAUACUAGAGGAUUAAUACAAGUGUACAGAAUAUUCAGUUUGUGCCGAAGAUACAUGUGGAACUUUUAUUCCCUCUUCUUCUAAAUGGCUGCUCUCAAACAUUGAAUAUAAGAUUAAAAUAGAUGUGGUUUUCUUCAGCCGCUGUUUCUCUCCCUUGAUCGAGGGAUCGGAUCGUGUGCAGAAGGUAUUGCGGAACAGUGGGCGCAUUAUUGACCUCAUAUAAUAAAGGGGCAAAGUAUUUAUGAUCCUAGAUAGUUGUACUUUUCCUUCACCGAUGGUGUAGUUGUAACUCCAUGAGGAAUGCUUUCUAUGCAUACAGUAGUAGGAAGCUUCCACGUCCUAGACUAGAUUGCCAAAAUUAAUUGGGAUUUGUUGUUUAGCUUGGCAACAUAGACACGGGUUGCCACAUUUCUACCUGUAUUUAUUUUGAGGGAAGCCUCAAAAUAGUUCUUCGAACCACUAAAUGGGGUAUGCUAGUACCUUUUGUAUUUAUCUCUCUACUUGUUACAUGAAAUCUUUGCUAUCUUCCAAUGUAUUAUAUCAUUUUGUUGCA
Macadamia integrifolia is the source of this 1492-nucleotide RNA transcript. It is a transcript of the gene named probable phospholipid hydroperoxide glutathione peroxidase, with no coding region annotated. The record is from RefSeq and is a predicted model, not a curated record. NCBI's taxonomy places the organism in Eukaryota, Viridiplantae, Streptophyta, Magnoliopsida, Proteales, Proteaceae. The transcript has 7 exons.